GUUGUCUUUAGCUUAUUUGGUAAAGUGUCACAUUGUGAAUGUGAGGAACAGGGUUCGAUUCCCGGAGACAAUCA
This 74-nucleotide transfer RNA is filed under the name Ferruginibacter sp. RNAcentral describes it as "tRNA-His". It matches the Rfam family "tRNA". Rfam says of the family: Transfer RNA (tRNA) molecules are approximately 80 nucleotides in length. The record is from RNAcentral. Lineage: Bacteria; Pseudomonadati; Bacteroidota; Chitinophagia; Chitinophagales; Chitinophagaceae.